This 497-nucleotide ribosomal RNA is filed under the name uncultured bacterium. RNAcentral describes it as "partial 16S ribosomal RNA". It matches the Rfam family "Bacterial small subunit ribosomal RNA", at positions 28 to 507 of the family's 1533-position model. The record is from RNAcentral.
GAUGAACGCUGGCGGCGUGCCUAAUACAUGCAAGUCGAGCGAACAGACGAGGAGCUUGCUCCUCUGACGUUAGCGGCGGACGGGUGAGUAACACGUGGAUAACCUACCUAUAAGACUGGGAUAACUUCGGGAAACUGGAGCUAAUACCGGAUAAUAUAUUGAACCGCAUGGUUCAAUAGUGAAAGACGGUUUUGCUGUCACUUAUAGAUGGAUCCGCGCCGCAUUAGCUAGUUGGUAAGGUAACGGCUUACCAAGGCAACGAUGCGUAGCCGACCUGAGAGGGUGAUCGGCCACACUGGAACUGAGACACGGUCCAGACUCCUACGGGAGGCAGCAGUAGGGAAUCUUCCGCAAUGGGCGAAAGCUUGACGGAGCAACGCCGCGCGAGUGAUGAAGGUCUUCGGAUCGUAAAACUCUGUUAUUAGGGAAGAACAAAUGUGUAAGUAACUAUGCACGUCUUGACGGUACCUAAUCAGAAAGCCACGGCUAACUACGUG